GCUUUACAGAUUUGUUUACUUUUCAUUGAUGUUCAAUUCACAUGAGGUCCAAAUACCAAUCGAAAUCAUAGGAUAUAUAAAAUUAUAGGUUUCAUCAGGUUUGUAUGGGUUUCAUUGCUUUUCAAACAGUGAGUGUGCAGCAUCAAUAAUUCGUUCGUUAAAAACUAAAAAAGAAGACUUUUUAAAUAAAUUUUUCACUUUUUGGGAAGGUUUGACAACGUCUUUGUAAGGGAAAAAAAGGAGAAGUGGUUAAAAAAAAAAUAUAUAAAGUCGUCUGACCACCAUAUUAAAACAUAUAGAAUCUUGCCGGUAUUGAUUCGAACUGGGCAGAAGUGGAGUCUUGUCUUCAAAUGUCAGAUUAAAAAUUGUUUCUAUGCUGAUGUACUGGAGUUCGCGAUGGAACGUAUCUGGACUUCGAGAGACAAGAGUGGCCUUGCGCUACAAGAUGCUGCUAACAGUUUACCAGCUUUCGACGUUGUGAUUUGUUCUAGGAUGCAUCAGGUAAUAUUCUUGUCUUUGUCGUGCUGAACUGAUCCAAAUGAUGUUUUCAUCUUUCGGGUAUGAUAUUAUUAUGAUUCCCUUUACUUCACUGAUGGAAC
Molecule: unclassified non-coding RNA, 599 nt
Filed under: Daphnia magna
Lineage: Eukaryota; Metazoa; Arthropoda; Branchiopoda; Diplostraca; Daphniidae
Description: uncharacterized LOC123471463, transcript variant X1
Source: RNAcentral